ACAACAAAAAUAAUUGUUUGAGGUUAGGAAAUCACUCUCGGGCUUAUAGGGUCGAAGUGGUUGUCGCUCGGGUGGUCAAGGACUCAUGUAGUCGGUCUCGUUUUAGUAUAUAGUUAGUCGAUUUUAUGCCCCAGCCGACUUUUUCGAUACAAAUGCGGCCACAAAUUCUCCGACAUCCAAAAAGUGCUCAGCAACAACCCUAUUUAGCCAUACAUUUUGUUACCAUUAAGGUGGCCAUAUGCUCUUAGGUUUGCACUAUAUCCACCACUUUUCGUUAAAAUCUUCAACCACUUGUCCUCAUAUACCCUUAUACCGCAAUUUCGACCACAGGCUUUUUAAAAAAAAAAUUAAGUUUGACUGCUGUUCUGUUAUUAGGAUUUUGAAUUAUAAGAAAUAGAAACGAAUGCAUUGCUGUGUACAUUACUGUUUAAAAAUCAUGGCAACACAUAACAAAAAUAUGUAAAUAAAAAUUUUAAGGCUUGAUUCUUUGCUUUAAAUUGUGCUACCUACGUCACGACAAUGACGAUUAAUGCAAACAAUACACAAUUACAUAAAUCUAAUUCCCCUUUAAUGGGUUAGAAACGAUUAUCUGUACGAAUAAAAUCGGUUCAAAAAUAAAAUAUAAGGUGAAAAGUCUAAUACAUGAAAUUAUUUAUUGUAAAUAAAAUUUUACUUGAGGAAAACUAAAAGUAAAAAAAUAUUUCAUUCAUGUAGAAUCAGUUUUUUCAUAAAAAUAUAAUAAUAUAUCAUAUUGAUUGAAGGGGCGGUAAGCUAUUUUAAAAGAAUUAAAAGAAUAGAAACAACUGAAGUUUCCUUGAUUUAGCAACAGUUAAAUAUAAUUUAUUAUACCCAUUACUCUUAGAAUAAAAGGGUAUAUUAGGUUCGUUGAAAAUUUGUAAGAGGUAGAAGUCCGAGUCUUGGCAUUUCAGUAUGCCCCUUUAUAGGAUUGUCAACAUCUCAGGAACUAUUAAAGCUAGAACGUUGAGAGGCAUGCAGAUUUUAGAAAUAGACGCAGAGUAUAGACCCAUGUUGGCAUGUCCAAUAUAACGCCCACAAACCGUCCAAAACUAACACGCGCUCACUUCUGAAAAUUUUGUUGAUGUUGUUUUUUAUUUUUAUUAUUUUUUAUUUUUAUUACACUUGUAAAUUUCUAUCGAUUUGCAAAAAAAAAAAUUGCCACUCUCACUCUAACACCCUAAAACCAUUCAAAACGGCCAAUCCCGCAUUUAAAAAAAAAAAUUUGGAUAUUUUCGAUAUACUGAUUGCUUUUUAAAGUUUGUAGAGCAGUAACCAUGCGACCAUUUAAAUUAUGUAUAAUAAAUUAAUUACUUACUAACAUACAAAAAAUAAAAACUAUCCUAUCAAAAGCGUUUAUUUUGCAAAAAUACUUAUGCCGACUGGUGUAUAGUCUCCAUCAGUAUCAUCAGACAAGUGAUGACCGUCUGCGCCCGUCAACGGCUCUACAUCAGUCCAUUGCAACUGCAUUUUCAGAUUGUACAGAGUUGCCAUUCUACCCCUUCCCAAUUCAGGUUCCUGAGAUCUUGACGUUCAUACGGACAGACGGACAUGGCUAGUUCGACUCGGCUAUCCUGAUCCUGAUGAAGAAUAUAUAUACUUUAUAUAGUCGGAAACGCUUCCUUCUACCUGUUAAAGACUUUUCAAUGAAUCUUUUUAUUCUACGAGUAACGGGAAUAAAAAUGGAUGCUUUGUGGUCGUUAAAGCGGAAGUUGUUAUUUUAUCAAAUCGAUAGAAACUUACAAGACUAAUAAAAAAUUUAACAAAUCAAAA
This is a long non-coding RNA of Drosophila sechellia, 1788 nucleotides long. RefSeq lists it as uncharacterized. The record is from RefSeq and is a predicted model, not a curated record. The transcript is spliced from 2 exons. Lineage: Eukaryota; Metazoa; Arthropoda; Insecta; Diptera; Drosophilidae.